Molecule: ribosomal RNA, 501 nt
Filed under: uncultured bacterium
Lineage: Bacteria
Description: partial 16S ribosomal RNA
Rfam family: Bacterial small subunit ribosomal RNA
Source: RNAcentral
CUUGAACGCUGGCGGCAGGCUUAACACAUGCAAGUCGAGCGGGGGGAGGUAGCUUGCUACCGGACCUAGCGGCGGACGGGUGAGUAAUGCUUAGGAAUCUGCCUAUUAGUGGGGGACAACAUCUCGAAAGGGAUGCUAAUACCGCAUACGUCCUACGGGAGAAAGCAGGGGAUCUUCGGACCUUGCGCUAAUAGAUGAGCCUAAGUCGGAUUAGCUAGUUGGUGGGGUAAAGGCCUACCAAGGCGACGAUCUGUAGCGGGUCUGAGAGGAGGAUCCGCCACACUGGGACUGAGACACGGCCCAGACUCCUACGGGAGGCAGCAGUGGGGAAUAUUGGACAAUGGGGGGAACCCUGAUCCAGCCAUGCCGCGUGUGUGAAGAAGGCCUUAUGGUUGUAAAGCACUUUAAGCGAGGAGGAGGCUACUUUAGUUAAUACCUAGAGAUAGUGGACGUUACUCGCAGAAUAAGCACCGGCUAACUCUGUGCCAGCAGCCGCCGUAA